AAAAAAGAAAUGGGUGAUUUCUAAGUGCACUGUUAAUUUCUAACUGCGCCUUUAUGCCCCCUAACAGAACACAGUGAAAAGUGUCCAAGCAGUCACCCAGGGUUUUGGGGUCUCAUUGGGGUGCAGGGGGUCACAAAGGAAUUUCUCUCCUUGCUGCAGCUGCCACCUCCAGUUACUCUAAACAACCCCUGGAGGGAAUAGACACCAGAUA
Molecule: long non-coding RNA, 211 nt
Organism: Pipistrellus kuhlii (Kuhl's pipistrelle)
Lineage: Eukaryota; Metazoa; Chordata; Mammalia; Chiroptera; Vespertilionidae
Exons: 5
Source: RefSeq, a predicted model, not a curated record